Molecule: ribosomal RNA, 253 nt
Filed under: uncultured bacterium
Lineage: Bacteria
Description: partial 16S ribosomal RNA
Rfam family: Bacterial small subunit ribosomal RNA
Source: RNAcentral
UACGUAGGGGGCUAGCGUUGUCCGGAAUCAUUGGGCGUAAAGAGCGUGUAGGCGGCCCGGUAAGUCCGCUGUAAAAGUCAAAGGCUCAACCUUUGAAUGUCAGUGGAUACUGCCGGGCUAGAGUCCGGAAGAGGCGAGUGGAACUCCUGGUGUAGCGGUGAAAUGCGCAGAUAUCAGGAGGAACACCAAUGGCGAAGGCAGCACUCUGGGACGUGACUGACGCUGAGACGCGAAAGCGUGGGGAGCAAACAGG